GGGUUGUGAGGUUAAGCGACUAAGCGUACACGGUGGAUGCCCUGGCAGUCAGAGGCGAUGAAGGACGUGCUAAUCUGCGAAAAGCGUCGGUAAGGUGAUAUGAACCGUUAUAACCGGCGAUGUCCGAAUGGGGAAACCCAGUGUGAUUCGUCACACUAUCGUUAACUGAAUACAUAGGUUAACGAGGCGAACCGGGGGAACUGAAACAUCUAAGUACCCCGAGGAAAAGAAAUCAACCGAGAUUCCCCCAGUAGCGGCGAGCGAACGGGGAGCAGCCCAGAGUCUGAAUCAGCUUGUGUGUUAGUGGAACGGUCUGGAAAGUCCGACGGUACAGGGUGAUAGUCCCGUACACCAAAAUGCACAGGUUGUGAACUCGAAGAGUAGGGCGGGACACGUGGUAUCCUGUCUGAAUAUGGGGGGACCAUCCUCCAAGGCUAAAUACUCCUGACUGACCGAUAGUGAACCAGUACCGUGAGGGAAAGGCGAAAAGAACCCCGGCGAGGGGAGUGAAAAAGAACCUGAAACCGUGUACGUACAAGCAGUGGGAGCACCUUCGGGUGUGACUGCGUACCUUUUGUAUAAUGGGUCAGCGACUUAUAUUCUGUAGCAAGGUUAACCGUAUAGGGGAGCCGCAGGGAAACCGAGUCUUAACUGGGCGUUAAGUUGCAGGGUAUAGACCCGAAACCCGGUGAUCUAGCCAUGGGCAGGUUGAAGGUUGGGUAACACUAACUGGAGGACCGAACCGACUAAUGUUGAAAAAUUAGCGGAUGACUUGUGGCUGGGGGUGAAAGGCCAAUCAAACCGGGAGAUAGCUGGUUCUCCCCGAAAGCUAUUUAGGUAGCGCCUCGUGAACUCAUCUUCGGGGUAGAGCACUGUUUCGGCUAGGGGGUCAUCCCGACUUACCAACCCGAUGCAAACUACGAAUACCGAAGAAUGUUAUCACGGGAGACACACGGCGGGUGCUAACGUCCGUCGUGAAGAGGGAAACAACCCAGACCGCCAGCUAAGGUCCCAAAGUCAUGGUUAAGUGGGAAACGAUGUGGGAAGGCACAGACAGCCAGGAUGUUGGCUUAGAAGCAGCCAUCAUUUAAAGAAAGCGUAAUAGCUCACUGGUCGAGUCGGCCUGCGCGGAAGAUGUAACGGGGCUAAACCAUGCACCGAAGCUGCGGCAGCGACACUAUGUGUUGUUGGGUAGGGGAGCGUUCUGUAAGCCUGCGAAGGUGACCUGUGAGGGUUGCUGGAGGUAUCAGAAGUGCGAAUGCUGACAUAAGUAACGAUAAAGCGGGUGAAAAGCCCGCUCGCCGGAAGACCAAGGGUUCCUGUCCAACGUUAAUCGGGGCAGGGUGAGUCGACCCCUAAGGCGAGGCCGAAAGGCGUAGUCGAUGGGAAACAGGUUAAUAUUCCUGUACUUGGUGUUACUGCGAAGGGGGGACGGAGAAGGCUAUGUUAGCCGGGCGACGGUUGUCCCGGUUUAAGCAUGUAGGCUGAUUGUCCAGGCAAAUCCGGAUAAUCAAGGCUGAGGUGUGAUGACGAGGCACUACGGUGCUGAAGUAACAAAUGCCCUGCUUCCAGGAAAAGCCUCUAAGCAUCAGGUAACAUCAAAUCGUACCCCAAACCGACACAGGUGGUCAGGUAGAGAAUACCAAGGCGCUUGAGAGAACUCGGGUGAAGGAACUAGGCAAAAUGGUGCCGUAACUUCGGGAGAAGGCACGCUGGUGUGUAGGUGAAGUCCCUGCGGAUGGAGCUGAGACCAGUCGAAGAUACCAGCUGGCUGCAACUGUUUAUUAAAAACACAGCACUGUGCAAACACGAAAGUGGACGUAUACGGUGUGACGCCUGCCCGGUGCCGGAAGGUUAAUUGAUGGGGUUAUCCGUAAGGAGAAGCUCUUGAUCGAAGCCCCGGUAAACGGCGGCCGUAACUAUAACGGUCCUAAGGUAGCGAAAUUCCUUGUCGGGUAAGUUCCGACCUGCACGAAUGGCGUAAUGAUGGCCAGGCUGUCUCCACCCGAGACUCAGUGAAAUUGAACUCGCUGUGAAGAUGCAGUGUACCCGCGGCAAGACGGAAAGACCCCGUGAACCUUUACUAUAGCUUGACACUGAACAUUGAGCCUUGAUGUGUAGGAUAGGUGGGAGGCUUUGAAGCGUGGACGCCAGUCUGCGUGGAGCCAACCUUGAAAUACCACCCUUUAAUGUUUGAUGUUCUAACGUUGGCCCCUUACCGGGGUUGCGGACAGUGUCUGGUGGGUAGUUUGACUGGGGCGGUCUCCUCCCAAAGCGUAACGGAGGAGCACGAAGGUUAGCUAAUCCUGGUCGGACAUCAGGAGGUUAGUGCAAUGGCAUAAGCUAGCUUGACUGCGAGCGUGACGGCGCGAGCAGGUGCGAAAGCAGGUCAUAGUGAUCCGGUGGUUCUGAAUGGAAGGGCCAUCGCUCAACGGAUAAAAGGUACUCCGGGGAUAACAGGCUGAUACCGCCCAAGAGUUCAUAUCGACGGCGGUGUUUGGCACCUCGAUGUCGGCUCAUCACAUCCUGGGGCUGAAGUAGGUCCCAAGGGUAUGGCUGUUCGCCAUUUAAAGUGGUACGCGAGCUGGGUUUAGAACGUCGUGAGACAGUUCGGUCCCUAUCUGCCGUGGGCGCUGGAGAAUUGAGGGGGGCUGCUCCUAGUACGAGAGGACCGGAGUGGACGCAUCACUGGUGUUCGGGUUGUCAUGCCAAUGGCACUGCCCGGUAGCUAAAUGCGGAAGAGAUAAGUGCUGAAAGCAUCUAAGCACGAAACUUGCCCCGAGAUGAGUUCUCCCUGAGACUUUAAGUCUCCUGAAGGAACGUUGAAGACGACGACGUUGAUAGGCCGGGUGUGUAAGCGCAGCGAUGCGUUGAGCUAACCGGUACUAAUGAACCGUGAGGCUUAACCUUACAACGCCGAAG
RNAcentral lists this ribosomal RNA (2922 nucleotides) under Klebsiella pneumoniae. RNAcentral's name for it is "bacterial LSU rRNA". It matches the Rfam family "Bacterial large subunit ribosomal RNA". The record is from RNAcentral. Lineage: Bacteria; Pseudomonadati; Pseudomonadota; Gammaproteobacteria; Enterobacterales; Enterobacteriaceae.